UACGUAGGGGGCAAGCGUUGUCCGGAUUUAUUGGGCGUAAAGAGCGUGUAGGCGGCCAGGUAGGUCCGUUGUGAAAACUCGAGGCUCAACCUCGAGACGCCGAUGGAAACCAUCUGGCUAGAGUCCGGAAGAGGAGAGUGGAAUUCCCGGUGUAGCGGUGAAAUGCGCAGAUAUCGGGAAGAACACCCGUGGCGAAGGCGGCUUACUGGUCCGGUUCUGACGCUGAGGCGCGAAAGCGUGGGGAGCAAACAGG
Molecule: ribosomal RNA, 253 nt
Filed under: uncultured bacterium
Lineage: Bacteria
Description: partial 16S ribosomal RNA
Rfam family: Bacterial small subunit ribosomal RNA
Source: RNAcentral